Molecule: ribosomal RNA, 494 nt
Filed under: Microbacterium sp. I11A-02105
Lineage: Bacteria; Bacillati; Actinomycetota; Actinomycetes; Micrococcales; Microbacteriaceae
Description: bacterial SSU rRNA
Rfam family: Bacterial small subunit ribosomal RNA
Source: RNAcentral
GGGUGAGUAACACGUGAGCAACCUGCCCCUGACUCUGGGAUAAGCGCUGGAAACGGCGUCUAAUACUGGAUAUGUGACGUGACCGCAUGGUCUGCGUCUGGAAAGAAUUUCGGUUGGGGAUGGGCUCGCGGCCUAUCAGCUUGUUGGUGAGGUAAUGGCUCACCAAGGCAUCGACGGGUAACCGGCCUGAGAGGGUGACCGGCCACACUGGGACUGAGACACGGCCCACACUCCUACGGGAGGCAGCAGUGGGGAAUAUUGCACAAUGGGCGCAAGCCUGAUGCACCAACGCCGCGUGAGGGAUGACGGCCUUCGGGUUGUAAACCUCUUUUAGCAGGAAAGAAGCGAAAGUGACGGUACCUGCAAAAAAAGCGCCGGCUAACUACCUGCCACCAGCCGCGGUAAUACGUAGGGCGCAAGCGUUAUCCGGAAUUAUUGGGCGUAAAGAGCUCGUAGGCGGUUUGUCCCGUCUGCUGUGAAAUCCGGAGGCUCAA